AGUAACAGAUCUCCUUGUAUCAGGGCAGGCAGCCCAGUCACUAUCAGAAUAACCAACAACAGAGAAAUCAUUGCUGUCAGAAUAAAAGAGACCCAUAGAGGAAGUACUUUUAAGAUAUAUUAACACAUGGAGGGCAGCAGUCAUAUGUGGAAGUCUGGGACAUUUCAAAAAUUGACUCAGAUGUUGCACAAUAAAACAGAUGUCAGGCCUAGUAUAUGUCAGAAAUAAAAGCUUACCAACAAGGCUCCUAUACUGAUCAGGACAAAAUAAAAGGUCACCAGAAUCAGCAUGAAGUUUGGCAUUAAUGUCCAAAGGACAGACAACAGAAGAAGAUAAAAGGUCACCAGAAUCAGCAUGAAGUUUGGCAUUAAUGUCCAAGGACAGACAACAGAAGAGACACUGGCACAGUCAAACUGAUGCAGCAGGUCAGAGAUAUAUUUAUGUUGAUUAAGGAUCAUCCCACCAGGAACAAGUGAUAUCUCUAUGCCUAAAAAAUAAUGCAAAGACCCUAGGUCCUUAAUUUUAAACUAAUCAUCCAGAAACAGUUUCAGGGCACAAAUUUCAUCACUGUCAUUCCCAGUAAGAAUAAUAUCAUCCACAUAGACUGCUACUAGCACAAGGGUGUACCUUUGAUAUUAGAGAAUAAUCAUUCAAAGAGUGUUUAUAGCCUCUGGAAUAGAGGGCAGUAGACAAUUUGGCAUACCAUUGUCUGGAUGCCUGUCUCAGCCCAUACAGGGAUUUAUUCAAUCUGCAAACAAGGGGAGUAGAGGUAGAGGAGGCAGAAAUAGAAGCAGGAGCAGAAACUGUCAAACCUGGAGGGAGCUUCAUAUAAACCUCCUCAUCCAAAUCACCAUGUAAGAAAGCAUUAUUAACAUCGAGUUGAAAUAAAUUCCAAUGAUUUUUGACAGUCACAACAAUAAGACACUUAACAAUGCACAUUUUAACCACAGGAGAAAAAGUGUCAGUGAAAUCAAUACCUUCAACAUGAGUAUCACCUCUAAUAACAAGUCUAGCUUUAUACUUUUCAACACUGCCAUCAGCCUUGUAUUUGAUUUUAUAAACCCAUUUGCAGCCAAUGGGUUUCU
RNAcentral lists this long non-coding RNA (1085 nucleotides) under Nicotiana benthamiana. RNAcentral's name for it is "long non-coding RNA (NBEN_LNC011719)". The record is from RNAcentral. Lineage: Eukaryota; Viridiplantae; Streptophyta; Magnoliopsida; Solanales; Solanaceae.